RNAcentral lists this ribosomal RNA (1453 nucleotides) under Microbispora amethystogenes. RNAcentral's name for it is "partial 16S ribosomal RNA". It matches the Rfam family "Bacterial small subunit ribosomal RNA", at positions 31 to 1326 of the family's 1533-position model. Lineage: Bacteria; Bacillati; Actinomycetota; Actinomycetes; Streptosporangiales; Streptosporangiaceae. The record is from RNAcentral.
GGAAGUGCGGCUGCUUACCAUCGCAGUCGAGCGGAAGGCCCUUCGGGGUACUCGAGCGGCGAACGGGUGAGUAACACGUGAGUAACCUGCCCCUGACUCUGGGAUAAGCCUGGGAAACCGGGUCUAAUACCGGAUACGACCACUCCCGGCAUCUGGUGGUGGUGGAAAGUUUUUCGGUUGGGGAUGGGCUCGCGGCCUAUCAGCUUGUUGGUGGGGUGAUGGCCUACCAAGGCGACGACGGGUAGCCGGCCUGAGAGGGCGACCGGCCACACUGGGACUGAGACACGGCCCAGACUCCUACGGGAGGCAGCAGUGGGGAAUAUUGCGCAAUGGGCGGAAGCCUGACGCAGCGACGCCGCGUGGGGGAUGACGGCCUUCGGGUUGUAAACCUCUUUCGGCAGGGACGAAGUUGACGUGUACCUGUAGAAGAAGCGCCGGCUAACUACGUGCCAGCAGCCGCGGUAAUACGUAGGGCGCAAGCGUUGUCCGGAAUUAUUGGGCGUAAAGAGCUCGUAGGUGGCUUGUCGCGUCUGCCGUGAAAGCCCGUGGCUUAACUACGGGUCUGCGGUGGAUACGGGCAGGCUAGAGGCUGGUAGGGGCAAGUGGAAUUCCUGGUGUAGCGGUGAAAUGCGCAGAUAUCAGGAGGAACACCGGUGGCGAAGGCGGCUUGCUGGGCCAGUUCUGACGCUGAGGAGCGAAAGCGUGGGGAGCGAACAGGAUUAGAUACCCUGGUAGUCCACGCUGUAAACGUUGGGCGCUAGGUGUGGGGGUCUUCCAUGGUUCCUGUGCCAUAGCUAACGCAUUAAGCGCGCCGCCUGGGGAGUACGGCCGCAAGGCUAAAACUCAAAGGAAUUGACGGGGGCCCGCACAAUCGGCGGAGCAUGUUGCUCACUUCGACCCUACGCGAAGAACCUUACUUAUGAUUGACAUACACCGCACGCCCUCUCAGAGAGUUGUGCCUUUCUAUAUCUGGAGAACAGGUGGGGCGUGGAUGUUUUACCUCAGGUCGUGACACGAUAAUUUAGGGUCUUUUCUACACGAGACGUGAUCCUUGUGCCUGUGGAGAGUUCUGCCUUCCGGAGAGGCGUGGACUCCGGGGAGUUCCCUUGGUACAGUCUUGCGAAGUGGGAGAAUAAUCCACCACUCUCCCUCCUCGAAAGUUGUGGGCGGAAUAAACAUCAAAGAGGGCCGCGCACCGCGUCGGGGACCCAAGGGGGGGGGACUAUUACAGAAACCCCCCCCACCCAAAGGAGGGGGGCGCGCCCCCCCCACAAGAAAAACUUCCCCACCCAACCAAGGAAGGAGUUGUUCUUAAUAUUAAUGCCGUGUCUCCAUCCUCCAGCGGGGAGGAAGAUUAAUCAACUACCCCUGGCCUCAUUGAGGCGGAGCUAUGUGUUGUGACUCGGGGCGGGAACGGAAAGGUAUUUAAUUAUAAUUUUAAAAAAAAAAAAAA